GCGAUGACGAUGACGCUGCGUUCUUUGAUUUGUUCGUCGCCAAUGAAGGAUGGAUGGAUCGUCGCGUUGCCGCGCGGCGGCACCCUGGCGGCGCCGCUCGCCGUGUCCUCGUAGCCGGUGCACUCUAAAGAAUCCCUCUUUCUCUUCCCCUCCUCUUUCCUGUUCUUGCAAGAAAUCUCUUUCAUUUCCCGGAUGCGUUCCCAGGGCGCGGUACCAAGCCGCGGCAGGAAAUAGGGUUACGCCGAUCGAUGGAUCGACAGGAGAAUCCCAGGUACAGUAAGAGGCUGCGAGCCAAGGCGGAGGAGAAAUCCCCGGUGAAGCGCGAGCCGCCAAAUGCGGAUGAAAUCCUCCUCCGCUCGGCGCUGGAUCGGCCGGAAUACCAUCCGGAUUUUGGGAUCGUGAUGAGCGCCCAGCAGCUGGACGAAUUGCGGCGCCAGAUCGCCGUCUACGCCACGAUCUGCCAGCAGCUGGUGGAGAUGCACAAGGCGUCAAUGGCGAAUCCCAACGGAACUUCUAGCUCUAGACCACCGCCGCCAUCGCCGCUACCGCCGCCCGUGAAAGCCACCACUCGCCAGAGGUGGGCGCCCAGCCAGGCCCAGGUCAAGCUCCUCGAGAGCCUCUACGACGUUGGAAUGGGGACGCCACACAAGCAGCGAGUGCGAGAGAUCACGGCGGAGCUCAGCCAGCUUGGGCCGGUGAACGAGUCCAACGUUUACAACUGGUUCCAGAACCGAAAGGCCAGGACGAGGAGGAGGAAUCGGCAGCAGCCGAGUGCUCUGGGAGGCCUGGAGCCACAGAACUUUCCUCACAGGGAGCUCGAGGAGGUGGAUUCGGAGGUGGACGCCAUGGAAGGUGGUGGUGCUCGUGGGUCUCCGGGAGUGUUGAAAAGGCUCAAGCCAGAGGGCGCUGGUCCAUCAACCGAGCACGCUCCACACUCCAACGCAAGUCUCCUGUGACGGUUUUUCGAUGCAGUUCUUCGGCUUGUUUUUUUUUUUUGUUGUUGCUCGAGGACUUAUAUACCGAAAUUGUGCAGGUUUUCGGUCGUCCUCUCGAAUGUCAAGCGGUCCGUGGUUCAAUUCCAGCCAUUUUGACGUCGUGACAUUAUUUUGUGGUGUCUGGGACAACGGCGCUCCUGCGCCAUAGCUCCAG
Selaginella moellendorffii is the source of this 1149-nucleotide RNA transcript. It is a transcript of the gene named WUSCHEL-related homeobox 8, with no coding region annotated. The record is from RefSeq and is a predicted model, not a curated record. The transcript has 3 exons. NCBI's taxonomy places the organism in Eukaryota, Viridiplantae, Streptophyta, Lycopodiopsida, Selaginellales, Selaginellaceae.